This 4453-nucleotide long non-coding RNA is filed under the name Homo sapiens (human). RNAcentral describes it as "HSALNT0181154". Lineage: Eukaryota; Metazoa; Chordata; Mammalia; Primates; Hominidae. The record is from RNAcentral.
CUCUGAUUCAAGAACAACAGGUGGCUCCCCAAAAAGGCUGAGCAAUUUUAUAGGAUGAGAAAAAGCCUACGAAUGAUCAUUUACUAAGCAUUUACCUUAUGCUUCAUUAAUGUUGCUAUGAAAGUACUAUAAGAUCCUAAUUUUUGUAUUCCAAAAGUUCCCGCUUUUGUUAACAUUUCCACCCUCUCUCCUCAAAAAUAUAUAUAAAAGGAAUUUUACCACAGUGUAAUCCAUAAAAACCACACCUUUCUGAUCUAGGUAAUGGCUAUCCCACAUUGCUUCAGGCUAAUUUAUCAAUAAAUACUUAUUGAGCACCAUGCUGCCUUUCUUUUGGAUAUGUACCUAGUGGUAGAAUUGCUGGAGCACAUGGUAGUUCUAUUUUCAGUUUUUUGACAAACCUCCAUACUGUUCUCCGUAGUGGCUAUACUAAUUCACAUUCCCACCAACAGUGUAUGAGGAUUCCCCUUUCUCCACAUCCUUUCCAGCAUCUGUUAGUGCCUGUCUUUUUGAUUCAAGCCAUUUUAACUGGGGUGAGAUGAUAUCACAUUAUGAUAUUGAUUUGCAUGUCUCUGAUGAUUAGUGAUACUGAACAUUUUUUCUUACACCUGUUGGCAAUUCGUAUGUCUCCUUUUGAGAAAUGUCUGUUCAAAUUUUUUGCCCAUUACUAAAUUGGAUUUUUUUUUUACUAUUGAGUUGUUUAAGCUCCUUAUGUAUUCUUAUUAUUGAUCCCUUAUCAGGUGAAUAGUUUGCAAAUAUUUUCUCCCAUUCUCCCAUUCUGUGGAUUGUCUAUUCACUUUGUUGACUGUUUCCUUUGCUGUACAGAAACUUUUUAGCUUGAUGUAAUCCCAAUUGUCUAUUUUUGCUUUGGUUGCCUGUGCUUCUGAGGUCUUAUACAAGAAAUCUUUGCCCAGACCAACAUCUCAAAGUAUUUGCCCAAUGCUUUCUCCUAGGAGUUUCACAGUUUCAGGUGUUAGGUUCAACUCUUUAAUCCAUUUUGAUUUGAUAUUUUUGUAUAGUGAGAGAUGGGGGUCUAGUUUCAUUCUUCUGCAUAGUUAUGCUGUUUUCUCAGCACCAUUUUUUUUGAAAAGACUGGACUUUUCCCAUUCUAAGUUUUUGGUGCUUUUGUCAAAGAUGAGUUGGUUAUAAAUGCAUGAAUUUAUAACUGGGUUCUCUAUUCUGUUCCACUGGUCUAUGUGUCUGCUUUUAUGCCAGUACCACGCUGUUUUGGUUACUAUGCUUUUGUAAUAAGUUUUGAAGUCCGGUAUUGUGAUCCCUCCAGCUUUGUUUUUUGGUUUGGGGGUUUUUGUGUUUCAGGGUAUGUUUGUGUGUGUGGUGUGUGUGUGUGUGUGAAGGGUCUCACUCUGUUUUGUGUGUGUGUGUGUGUGUGUGUGUGUGUGUGUGUGUGAAGGGUCUCACUCUGUUGCCCAGGCUGGAGUGCAGUGGUGCACUCAUAGCUCACUGCAGGCUCGAACUCCUGGCCUCAUGCAGUUCUCCCAUUUUGGCCUCCCAAAGUGCUGAGAUUACAGGUAUAAGCCACUAUGCCCAACCCAGCUUUGUUCUUUAUGCUCAGGAUUGCUUUGCCUAUUCAGGGUCUUUUGUGGUUCUAUAUAAAUGUUAGGUUUGUUUUUUUUUUUUCUCUUUUUGUGAAGAAUGUCAUCGGUAUUUUGAUAGGGAUUGCAUUGAAUCUGUAAGUAGUUUGUAGUAGUAUUGUCAUUUUAACAAUAUUAUUCUUCCAAUCCAUGAGCAUGGAAUAUAUUUCCACUUUUUGGUGUCCUCUUCUGUUUCUUUCAUCAGAAUUUUAUUUCCUUGUACAGAACUUUUAUUUCUUUGGUUAGAUUGAUUCCUAGGUAUUUUAUAUUUUUUGCAGCUAUUGUAAAUGGGAUUACUUUCUUGAUUUUUCAGAUUGUUCACUGUUGGCACAUAUAAAUGCUACUGAUUUUUGUAUGUUGAUUUUGUAACCUGCAACUUUACUGAAUUUGUUUUAUGUUCUAUCAGUUUUUUGGUGGAGUUUUUAGGUCUUUCUAAGUAAUAAGAUCAUGUCCUCUUCAAACAAGGUUAACUUGACUUCUUCCUUUACAAUUUGGAUGCCCUUUUAUUCUUUCUUUGCCUAGUUGCUCUGACCAGGACUUCCAGUAUCAUGUUGAAUAAAAGUGGUAAAAGUGGGCAAUUCUUAUCUUGUACCAGUCUUUAGAGAAAAGGCCUUCAAAUUUUCCCCUUUCGGUCUGAUGUUAGCCAUGAGUUUGACAUAGAUGGCCUUUAAUAAUUUGAGGUAUGUUCCUUCUAUAUCCAUUUUGAUGAGGGUUUUUAUGAUAAAGGGAUGAAUUUUAUCAAAUACUUUUUGACAUCUAUUGAAAAAAUUAUAUGGUUUUUGUUAUUGAUUCUGCUAAUAUGGUACAUCAUGUUUAUUUCUGUAAAUUUAAUCAUUUUUGAAGCAUCCCUGGGAUGAGUCCCACUUGAUCAUAGUCAAUGAUCCUUUGAUGUAUUAUAGGAUUCACUUUGCUAGUGUUUUGUUGAGGAUUUUUGCAUGUAUGUUCAUCAGUGAUAUUCGUCUGUAGUUUUCUUUUGUUGUGUGUCCUUGUCUAGUUUUGGUAUCAGGGUAACGCUGACCUUAUGGGUCUGGAAGUAUUCCCUCUUCUUCAGUUUUUUUUUUUUUUUUUGAAGAGUUUGAGUAGGAUUGAUAUUAGCUCUUCUUUAAAUGUUAGUUUGAAUUCUCCUGUGAAUCCAUCAGGUCCUAGGCUUUUCCUUGAUGGAAGACAUUUUAUUAUACCUUUGAUCUCAUUACUAGCUAUUGGUUUGUUGAGGUUUUCUAUUUCUUCACAAUUCACUCUUGGUAUGUUGUACAUAGAAUAGAAGAUGAAAAGUAUAAUUUCAUUUCUUCAUUUAUUCAUUUCUUCCAGGUUUUCCAAUUUAUUAGUUUAUGCUUGUUCAUAAUAGUCUCUAAUGAUUCUUCGUAUUUCUGAAGUCUCAGUCGUUAUGUCUCCUUUUUUCAUUUCUGAUUUUAUUCAUUUGGGUCUUCUCACGUUUCUUCUUAGUCUAGCUAAAGGUUUAUCAGUUUUGUUUAUCUUUUCAAAAAACCAACUUCUCAUUUUGUUGAUCUUCUGUAUUUUUUGGCUCAAUUUCGCUUAUUUCUUCUCUGAUCUUUAUUAUUUCUUUCCUUCCACCUAUUUUGGGUUUGGUUUGUUCUUGCUUUUCUAGUUCCUUGAGGUGCAUUAUUGGGUUGUUUCUUUGGAAUAUUUCUACUUUUUUGUUAUAAGUGUUUUUGCUAUAAACUUCCCUCUUAGUACUGCUUUUGCCAUACCCUAUAGAUUUUGGUAUGUUGUAUUUCCAUUUUCAUUUGCUUCAAGAAAUUUUUAAAUUUCCUUCUUAAUUUCUUCAUUGACCCCUUGGUCAAGGAGCAUGUUGUUUAAUUCCAUGUGUAUGCAUAUUUUCCAAGGUUCCUCUUGUUAUUGAUUUCUAGUUUUAUUACAUUAUGUUCAGAGAAGAUACUUUACCCUAUCUCUUCCAAAAAAAAUGCAAAAAUUUAGCUAGGUGUGGUGGUGUGAACUUGAGUCCCAGCUACCUGGGAGACUGAGGCAGGAGGAUCACCUGAACCCAAGGAGAUCAAGGCUGAAGUGAGCUGUGAUUGUGUCACUGCAUUCCAGCCUGGGAGAUAGUGAGACUCUGUCUCAAAAGAAAAAGGGCAGGAUGGGGGAGGGGACAAAAAGCAUUCUUAGUUUAAGAAUAGGUUUUGCUUUAAAAAUCAUAGUACACUCAUAAAUUCUUGCUGAAAUCAAUAAUUACACAAGAGAAUAACAAUACUAAUAGCCUGUCGUAAAUUGACCCCAAGUCUUUUUAAUAAAGCACACUUUUUUUUAAUUAUACUUUAAGUUCUGGGAUACACAUACAGAAUGUGGUUUGUUACGUAGGUAUACAUGUGUCAUGGUGGUUUGCUGCACCCAUCAACCCAGCAUCUAUAUUAGGUAUUUCUCCUAAUGCUGUCCCUCCUCCUGCCCCCUGACAGGCCCCAGUGUGUGAUGUUCCCCUCCCUUUGUCCAUGUGUUCUCAUUGUUCAACUCCCACUUAUGAGUGAGAACAUGUGGUGUUUGGUUUUCUGUUCCUGUGUUAGUUUGCUGAGAAUGAUGGUUUCCAGCUUCAUCCACGUCCCCGCAAAGGACAUGAACUCAUUCUUUUUUAUGGCCACAUAGUAUUCCAUGGUGUAUAUGUGCCACAUUUUUUUUAUCCAGUCUAUCAUUGAUGGGCAUUUGAGUUGGUUCCAAGUCUUUGCUAUUGUAAAUAGUGCUGCAAUAAACAUACGAUAAAGCACAUUAUUCUUAGCCCUUAUGUAAUCAAAAAUCAGGUUCAGUCACAUGCCACUUACAGAGUCCAGUUAACAAGAGCAAGAUCUGGUAUAAAGAAAGUGACUUUUGGCUGGGCACGGUGGCUCAUGCCUGUAAUCCCAGCACUUUGGAGGCCG